UCGAGAAUUUUUCACAAUGGGGGCAACCCUGAUGGAGCGACGCCGCGUGGAGGAUGAAGGCCUUCGGGUUGUAAACUCCUGUCAUGCGGGAACAAGCAAGUGAUAGUACCGCAAGAGGAAGAGACGGCUAACUCUGUGCCAGCAGCCGCGGUAAUACAGAGGUCUCAAGCGUUGUUCGGAUUCAUUGGGCGUAAAGGGUGCGUAGGUGGUGACGCAAGUCUGGUGUGAAAUCUCGGAGCUCAACUCCGAAAUUGCACCGGAUACUGCGUGACUCGAGGACUGUAGAGGAGAUCGGAAUUCACGGUGUAGCAGUGAAAUGCGUAGAUAUCGUGAGGAAGACCAGUUGCGAAGGCGGAUCUCUGGGCAGUUCCUGACACUGAGGCACGAAGGCCAGGGGAGC
This 400-nucleotide ribosomal RNA is filed under the name uncultured bacterium. RNAcentral's name for it is "bacterial SSU rRNA". It matches the Rfam family "Bacterial small subunit ribosomal RNA", at positions 355 to 769 of the family's 1533-position model. The record is from RNAcentral.